AGUGAACGCUGGCGGUAGGCCUAACACAUGCAAGUCGAACGGCAGCACAGUAAGAGCUUGCUCUUACGGGUGGCGAGUGGCGGACGGGUGAGGAAUAUAUCGGAAUCUACUUUUUCGUGGGGGAUAACGUAGGGAAACUUACGCUAAUACCGCAUACGACCUACGGGUGAAAGCAGGGGAUCUUCGGACCUUGCGCGAUUGAAUGAGCCGAUGUCGGAUUAGCUAGUUGGCGGGGUAAAGGCCCACCAAGGCGACGAUCCGUAGCCGGUCUGAGAGGAUGAUCGGCCACACUGGAACUUAGACACGGUCCAGACUCCUACGGGAGGCAGCAGUGGGGAAUAUUGGACAAUGGGCGCAAGCCUGAUCCAGCCAUACCGCGUGGGUGAAGAAGGCCUUCGGGUUGUAAAGCCCUUUUGUUGGGAAAGAAAAGCAGCAGGUUAAUACCCCGCUGUUCUGACGGUACCCAAAGAAUAAGCACCGGCUAACUUCGUG
This 492-nucleotide ribosomal RNA is filed under the name uncultured bacterium. RNAcentral describes it as "partial 16S ribosomal RNA". It matches the Rfam family "Bacterial small subunit ribosomal RNA", at positions 29 to 507 of the family's 1533-position model. The record is from RNAcentral.